Molecule: ribosomal RNA, 495 nt
Filed under: uncultured bacterium
Lineage: Bacteria
Description: partial 16S ribosomal RNA
Rfam family: Bacterial small subunit ribosomal RNA
Source: RNAcentral
GACGAACGCUGGCGGCGUGCCUAAUACAUGCAAGUAGAACGCUGAAGGAGGAGCUUGCUCUUCUGGAUGAGUUGCGAACGGGUGAGUAACGCGUAGGUAACCUGCCUGGUAGCGGGGGAUAACUAUUGGAAACGAUAGCUAAUACCGCAUAAGAGUAGAUGUUGCAUGACAUUUACUUAAAAGGUGCAAUUGCAUCACUACCAGAUGGACCUGCGUUGUAUUAGCUAGUUGGUGGGGUAACGGCUUACCAAGGCGACGAUACAUAGCCGACCUGAGAGGGGGAGCUGCAUCACGGGGAAGGAGACAAGGCGGAGACGCAUUCGGGAGGCAGCAGGAGGGAAGAUUAAGCAAGGGACGGAAGUCUGACCGAGCAACGCCGCGUGAGUGAAGAAGGGUAUCGUAUCGUAAAGAUCUGUUGUAAGAGAAGAACGAGUGUGAGAGUGGAAAGUUCACACUGGGACGGUAUCUUACCAGAAAGGGACGGCUAACUACGUG